UACGUAGGGUGCAAGCGUUGUCCGGAAUUAUUGGGCGUAAAGGGCGCGUAGGCGGCUUUGCAAGUGGCGGGUGAAAUCCCUCGGCUUAACCGAGGAACUGCCUGUCAAACUGCAUGGCUUGAGACCAGGAGAGGUGAGUGGAAUUCCCAGUGUAGCGGUGAAAUGCGUAGAUAUUGGGAGGAACACCAGUGGCGAAGGCGGCUCACUGGACUGGUACUGACGCUGAGGCGCGAAAGCGUGGGGAGCAAACAGG
Molecule: ribosomal RNA, 253 nt
Filed under: uncultured bacterium
Lineage: Bacteria
Description: partial 16S ribosomal RNA
Rfam family: Bacterial small subunit ribosomal RNA
Source: RNAcentral